Long non-coding RNA from Musa acuminata AAA Group (dessert banana), 2885 nucleotides. RefSeq lists it as uncharacterized. The transcript is spliced from 2 exons. The record is from RefSeq and is a predicted model, not a curated record. NCBI's taxonomy places the organism in Eukaryota, Viridiplantae, Streptophyta, Magnoliopsida, Zingiberales, Musaceae.
GGAAGCCCACACCGAGAAGCCCCGGAUCUCCUGCCGUGGAGUUCGAGAUCGACUCCUCACUGUAAACCCUCGCCCACCUCCACGUCCACCGGUGCCGGACUCCACUAACUUCCGUGCCAUGUACUUCUGGCUACAAAAGGGUGAUCGUGGUGGUUAUGUCCUCUGUUCUAUUGGCUGUGCGACCUCGCGGCGCUCUCUGACGCGAUCCCGCUCGAUCCAACCGGUUCCUUUGUGGAUGCAAAAAGUCUUGUAAUGCAUUGUGGUGCCUCCUUUGCUAUAGUAUGCUCAUCACACGUUUAGGUGGAUGGUCUGACAGAUAGCACUUGACCAAGGACUGUGUCGUACUGGUAUCCUGUUGGACAUGAGACAUUCACAAGUUCAAAUAGACCAUGCUGUUCUGUUGCACAUUGUAAUUUUUCAUGUAGCACUUGUUCUUGUAUUUCUUUUACCUACAUGCCAUCAAUGUUCAAUGACUCGUAUGGUGAUGACUACUGCCCUCUGCCCAACUGUUCAAACAAGUUGUUCCUUUUGUUUUGUUAAGUUACGACUGACGCUGUCAUAUUGAUGUGAAGUACCUGUAGGCUACUUAAUGCUUUGGCUCGCAAGGUACCGCAAAUCUGACACAUACAUGUUUAGUCAAUUACUCCAUGUGACCAUGAACUUAGAUUUCAUUAUUGACUUCUUAAGUCACCUUGAUAUUUUUAAUGUACUGCCCGAUCUGGAUGCUCAUGCAAACUGUAUCCACUUGUUUAGUGUUAGGGCUCUGAAAACAUAUCAGCUUAGAUCUCUUUAUUAUUUGUUGUCAUUUUUAAGCACUACUAUCUCUGCAAAUAUGCAUAUUUUAUACUACAAAAUGAAACUUAUGCAGCCUUGAGUUGAUGGUUAUUUUAUUUUUACUGUAACUUUAAAUGCAAAAUGGCAUUUGUACCUGCAAAUUUUUCACAGUUUUUUCAUGAUUUAAAGUGACUGCAAUUUUGUCAAGAAGCUCAAAAGGUUGUAUCUGGAUACCCCCACCAUAACACUUGAGUUGGGAAUGAAUGAUUUAACUUUGAUCCCUAUAUCAUCUGAAGUAUUUUUAUGCUGAUCAUGAAAUUUAUCUAUCAAAUGGUGAAGAGAGAGCCUCUUAUAUUAUUAUUUAAAUUCUUCAACUCUAUGGUUGCUCUUUGGCCAACAAUUUAGUAGAUUUCUGUGUCCAUAUCUACUUCAAAGAGUAGUUGAUUGGAUUCCAUUCAGCCUCUUUUUCAUGCUUUCUCUACAUAUCUGUUUAUGAAUCUACAUACUUCAAGACAAAGGAUUAUGCAAUCAUUUAAGAAAAUCUUUGGAAUUAUUAUUAUUUUGUUGGUUUCUUCAAAUUUUGAAACUUGCCUAAAGCUAGACUAUUUGCUUCCCUACCAUUUACUAUUGUUGUAGUCAACUUGUCAUGCUCAAUGCCCAUACCAAAUCAUAGAAUUCACUAGAAUAGAAUCAUUGUUCUAUUUGGGUAACGAACAAGAAAAGGAAACAAAGAAGCUAAUCUACAAUUUCUUUUAUACACUUUCAGGGUGGAGUACAUGGAUCUACAGUUUCCCAUCUCAGAGGUGUUGGCUAGAACUCUUGUCCAUGGUACCAGCUUUCAUUAUUACUUCCUGUUUUGCGCAGUCCACAUGAACCCUUUUGUGAACCACUGCCACUCUUCUCAGGGAAAUAAGAGGAGCUAAAAGUGUACUUCCUUGAGCUGCAGAAUACAUCUCUUGCACACAACAACAAUAUCAUCAGGCAGAGUUGAAGAUAUCUGGACUGCAACUUCCUCUCCCGUGACUGCAACAAAACUGCAUCAUUCAUACUCCCCAGAGGAAGACGCAGAAACGUGGGUAGAAGAACCUGAUUAGUUGUGCAGUGGAUUUGGACCCUGAGGCACCAGUCUCUUGGAAACUCCAUAAACCGAGCUGAACUCCUCCUCCUCCUCCUCAUCAUGCUCUGCAGACGGAGAUAUCCUAGGGAAGUAACCCAUGGAUGAUGGUGUGGAGUACUCAUUCUUCCAUCUCUCCGCCCCUCUCAUGGCUGUUCUUGCAUGGCCGAGACUGGUAAGCUGCCCAGCAACCAUCAGUAGCAGUAGAAACAAGAUCAUGUGUGGCAGAGGGAAGUUGUGCAACCUCAUGGCCGCAGGAUGGGGAAGAGACUUGGAGACCAGAGCAGGUUGAAGAGGAGGGAGAGAGGGAAGCAGAAGGAGGUUGAAUUAUAGCCAAGCAGGAACAUGGGCAGGUGGAGAAGUCUAUUAAUAUGGGGGCCAACUCCAUUGGUGAGGAAAACGCUGUCAAAGCUCGGACCAAUUGACCAAAUCAUCCUUGUGACCGUCUUUAGCAGCCCCCUUCAUCUGUGCAUGGGAUCACAAGAUGUCAACAUGGAUAUGAGGAGGCUACUUGUGGCAUUCUCGGAUGGAUUUAAGGGUGUUGACUGUGUAAGAGGGGGUGGAGAUGCUCUGUCUUCCAUUUGGCAUCAUUUUGUCAUGAAGUGAUUACAAUAGAGUUAAGCAGUACCAAAUGAUUGCCAUUUCCAUCCAAUGUGCUUUGGAUUUCCAGUGAGAGAUAGAGAGAGACAGAGAGAUGGAUCCCUAUGGCAAUGUGACUUCUAAAUGUGUUGCCGCAAAUAAUUGAAGUUGGGAGAGUGGACCAAUGCAAGAGGCCAACGUAAGCUCCUAAUUAUAAUUAAGUUGCAGUACACUACAAAAUGUACCUAUGCAACCUAAAAAAUGUGAAUCUGGUUCAUUAUAAUUGACUUCUUGUGUCCUCUCUCUUUCUCUCUCUCUCUCUCUCUCUCUCCUCUUUGACUUGUUUGCUUUGCAUCAUGCGCGAGGGAUUUCCUCCUCGUUUUACUCAGAAUGCUGGGAUAAGUCAUUCUCUCCUCGA